RNAcentral lists this ribosomal RNA (749 nucleotides) under uncultured Planctomycetota bacterium. Its description in RNAcentral is "bacterial SSU rRNA". It matches the Rfam family "Bacterial small subunit ribosomal RNA", at positions 68 to 769 of the family's 1533-position model. Lineage: Bacteria; Pseudomonadati; Planctomycetota. The record is from RNAcentral.
GGAACUGCUUUUGGGUAACUGAGAACAGUUUAGUGGCGAAAGGGUGAGUAAUGCAUGGGUAACGUACCCCGGGCACCGGGAUAGCAGCGCCUGCUUCGGCAGGCUACCGAAAGGGCUGGUAAUACCGGAUGUGGUUGGUAGCACUGCGGUGCUUUUGAUCAAAGUUGGGGAUCCGCUUCGGCGGACCUGAUGGCCUGGGAGCGGCCCAUGUUCCAUCAGCUAGUUGGUAGGGUAAAGGCCUACCAAGGCGAUGACGGAUACCGGGGCUGAGAGGCCGAUCCGGCACAUUGGGACUGAGACACUGCCCAGACCCCCACGGGGGGCUGCAGUAACGAAUCUUCCGCAAUGGGCGAAAGCCUGACGGAGCGACGCCGCGUGUGGGAUGAAUUCCCUCGGGAUGUAAACCACUGUCAGGGUUAUGGAAACAAACCGCAAUAAUACAGCGGGGCGUAGACCUAGCCCAAAGGAAGCCACGGCUAACUUCGUGCCAGCAGCCGCGGUAAUACGAAGGUGGCAAGCGUUGUUCGGAAUAACUGGGCUUAAAGAGCACGUAGGCGGCCGGUCUAGCAUUUUGUGAAAUCCCUCGGCUCAACCGAGGAAUUGCGAGGUGAACUGGCCGGCUUGAGCUGCAGAUGGGUGACUGGAACUCUAGGUGGAGUGGUGAAAUACGUAGAUAUCUAGAGGAACGCCGGUGGUGAAAACGGGUCACUGGCUGCAUGCUGACGCUGAGGUGCGAAAGCGUGGGGAGC